This 301-nucleotide ribosomal RNA is filed under the name uncultured bacterium. RNAcentral describes it as "partial 16S ribosomal RNA". It matches the Rfam family "Bacterial small subunit ribosomal RNA", at positions 509 to 809 of the family's 1533-position model. The record is from RNAcentral.
CAGCAGCCGCGGGAAUACGGAGGGUGCAAGCGUUAAUCGGAAUUACUGGGCGUAAAGCGCACGCAGGCGGUCUGACAAGUCAGAUGUGAAAUCCCCGGGCUUAACCUGGGAACUGCAUUUGAAACUGUCAGGCUGGAGUCUUGUAGAGGGGGGUGGAAUUCCAGGUGUAGCGGUGAAAUGCGUAGAGAUCUGGAGGAAUACCGGUGGCGAAGGCGGCUCCCUGGACAAAGACUGACGCUCAGGUGCGAAAGCGUGGGGAGCAAACAGGAUUAGAUACCCCGGUAGUCCCUGUCUCUUAUAU